UGCAGUCGUGCGAGACCUUCGGGUCUAGCGGCGGACGGGUUAGUAACGCGUGGGAACGUGCCCUUCUCUACGGAAUAGCCUCGGGAAACUGAGAGUAAUACCGUAUACGCCCUUCGGGGGAAAGAUUUAUCGGAGAAGGAUCGGCCCGCGUCUGAUUAGAUAGUUGGUGGGGUAAUGGCCUACCAAGUCUACGAUCAGUAGCUGGUUUUAGAGGAUGAUCAGCAACACUGGGACUGAGACACGGCCCAGACUCCUACGGGAGGCAGCAGUGGGGAAUCUUAGACAAUGGGCGAAAGCCUGAUCUAGCCAUGCCGCGUGUGUGAUGAAGGCCCUAGGGUCGUAAAGCACUUUCGCUGGGGAAGAUAAUGACUGUACCCAGUAAAGAAACCCCGGCUAACUCCGUGCCAGCAGCCGCGGUAAUACGGAGGGGGUUAGCGUUGUUCGGAAUUACUGGGCGUAAAGCGCGCGUAGGCGGAUUAGAAAGUUGGGGGUGAAAUCCCAGGGCUCAACCCUGGAACUGCCUCCAAAACUACUAGUCUAGAGUUCGAGAGAGGUGAGUGGAAUUCCGAGUGUAGAGGUGAAAUUCGUAGAUAUUCGGAGGAACACCAGUGGCGAAGGCGGCUCACUGGCUCGAUACUGACGCUGAGGUGCGAAAGUGUGGGGAGCAAACAGGAUUAGAUACCCUGGUAGUCCACACCGUAAACGAUGAAUGCCAGUCGUCGGCAAGCAUGCUUGUCGGUGACACACCUAACGGAUUAAGCAUUCCGCCUGGGGAGUACGGUCGCAAGAUUAAAACUCAAAGGA
This 804-nucleotide ribosomal RNA is filed under the name Rhodobacteraceae bacterium ACEMC 7-4. RNAcentral describes it as "bacterial SSU rRNA". It matches the Rfam family "Bacterial small subunit ribosomal RNA", at positions 56 to 908 of the family's 1533-position model. The record is from RNAcentral. Lineage: Bacteria; Pseudomonadati; Pseudomonadota; Alphaproteobacteria; Rhodobacterales; Paracoccaceae.